Thunnus maccoyii (southern bluefin tuna) is the source of this 1428-nucleotide long non-coding RNA. RefSeq lists it as uncharacterized. The record is from RefSeq and is a predicted model, not a curated record. The transcript is spliced from 4 exons. NCBI's taxonomy places the organism in Eukaryota, Metazoa, Chordata, Actinopteri, Scombriformes, Scombridae.
GCCGUUUGGCUGACCAUCGCCUCUAGUUUCUUUUUGAAUAAUAAAGUGAAACAUGAACCUUGUGUCCAUCAUUGUUGGCACUAAUUGUUGGCUGAUUCAGCAUGUUGAAGUGAAUCAGAGUUAGUCAGUGAGACAGAGCUGUGUGACCGGGUGUUCAGUAGUGAAUCAGUAGUUUAGUGUGAUUUUCUCCUUGUUCGUUUCCACUUCUUUUAUAGUCAAGAUUAUUAUUAUUAUUAUUAUUAUUAUGAACUACUGACUAGUUAUUUCCUCUCAUGAUGGUAUAGAAUGUACUGUAUGUACAUGUUGGCCAUCAGCUGGAGUGACAGUGCAACUUAUAAGAAGAGGUGAAGCCUUUGACAGUACUAGUUUUUUUACUUGGAGUAUCAGGCCACCAUAGUUUCCACGUCUGCAUAGUUCUGCAUGACCGCAUGAGUCUGUGUGAUGUAAAUUUCAUCCCCAUUUUAACCGCAUGGACUGUCCGCACUACAAGCGUGCCGACUGUGCAUGUGCUAGAAAAGCAAACUGGGGGCUUGUUUUGUGUAUUGUAUUUACUAUAUUCCCAUUUCUUGGUCCCCUUCUUAUUAAGCGGUCGCACACACAAUUUUCUUCUUUUCCAUUUUUCUUGUUGUUCUGUCAAAUACAACAAACAGAAACUUUUCCUCUUGCUGUCAUGAGGUCGCCGCCCUGUUUUCUAGUGCACAUGUGUGGAACACAACUCUGACUAUAGUUUGUGUAAGAGCUCGUGCAAGUCCACGUACACAGAUGAACCAAGGCAAACAUGAAUGGCCUUAAUGGACUGACGUGAGAGCGAGAAAAGCAGACACAUCUGAUAGUGGUGUACUCUGAUUUAAAUCUUAGAAACUGCACCGCUCUAUAAGAUUUGUGCUUAAGACAAAGAGAGGCAGAUUACUACGCUGCUGUAAAGGAAUGUUUUGGGAUUUUUGGAUGAUCUGUGGCCUGCAGGGUUUUCAUUGGAAGCCUGCUGAUCUAAGAGCCUGGUGGGCAGAGUUUCAGAGAUUCAGCUCACCUGGACUGACGGGCUUCUAUACAAGCUGGUGGCUUGUGCUGGCUUCCACUCUGUUUGGUUUUGUUGUAUCUUAAAGACAGUUCCACCAGUACCAAGGUUGCAGACAUCUGAGGCUGGACAAGAUGGUCAAACUUGCGGUACAUGUGGUCUUUUUGUGCCAGAUUGGUGGGAGGUGUACUUCAUUCAUGAUCGUGGUGGACCCUUGGUCUCUCCCUGCAGGAGUCUGGUGUGCUGAGUUGGGUCAUCAGGGAAAUUCAGCUCACCUGGACUGACGGGCUUCUAUAGAAGCAGGUGACAGUCAGUCACUUGCCCUCUCUCCUCUGACUUCCACCCUGUUUGGUUUUGUUGUAGUUAGUUUAAUUUAUCUUAGUUAUGUGCAAUAAAUCUAUUUUUAGUUACAA